Molecule: non-coding RNA, 21 nt
Organism: Caenorhabditis elegans
Lineage: Eukaryota; Metazoa; Nematoda; Chromadorea; Rhabditida; Rhabditidae
Source: Ensembl
CUGUUCGUGUAAUGAAGUUUG